ACGAGCUGAUGCAUAUCAAAGUAUUUAGCCCAUUGCCCACCAUCUCGCAGUGGGGAAUUUAGGGAUUACUAGUAAAGGACAACAAAAGGCAUGGCUGAAGCAGUACUCAACACCACUCAACUGCAGAAGCUAUUUAUUUAUUUAUUGCUUCAAAAGCUUGGUUCCUGAAGGAUGCUGAGCACAUCCUCAUCCUGUCACUCCUGUGUUUACACUUCCACCAUUUUCAGUUCUGUCUCCCAACAGCUACUGCUGGCAUCCAGUCAUCACAACAGGCAGGUUCCUCAGCACAGGGCACUGUUUCAAAGACCUGCUGCCAGCAGAGCAGGCAGCUCGUGGCUUGUGUGUGCGCAGAUGUACUGCAGCUCUUCUGAACAUGCACUUACAAGUGGGCACCUGAAGAAGGCAUUUCUGAUGCUGCAACGCUUAAGCUUGUUUAUAUCUCAAUGAAUAGUAGCUCAGGGGCAAGAACAGAGACUUCUUCAGGCUUUAACUAAAUGCAACAACCUGUGGUAAGCCCACAUCCUACCUGUGGUGAGUGAGUGUCAUCCUCAUCAAAGCUGGUGUUCUCCUUCACUCUAAUCCACUUCCCGCGGCAUUUCCCACUGCUCCCUCACCUAAGUCUCUUCUUUCAGAUCAACUUUCAGGACUGUUAAAUGAGAUGUGACUGCUGUGACCACCUGGUCCAACCCCCUGUAUAUCACGGGUCACUAGACUAGAAAAUACAACCUCUAGUGGAACAGCUGCUUCACCUGUGAUGGAGCAGCCAAUAUACCUCUGGCGCAAGAGUACAGCAUCAUUCACGAAUAAUUUCAGGUUCCAAACCUAGUGCUUCUGCCAACAUCAGUAAGCAUAAAACCAUCAAAUUUGUGAGGCUCAACACUAGCUCUGGCGUAGCAUGGUGUUUACAGAGGACUUCUGGUCACUGCUCAAGAUGCAAGAAUAAAACUGCCGGGGCUGAGGCAGAGGAGCCCAUGAAUGAGGAGGAAGGCUUUGUACACCAACCCAAAGCCAUUACCACCGAGCUUCUCCAUACUUACCUGUUUGCACGUACUCGCUCAGCAGCUGAGGAUGGCACUGAUGGGCAGCCCAGUUGAGCUGGUGGUGAUCACAGACACGCAGGAACCAAGUGAGCUACUUACCAAGGAGAGGUGUUAGCAGGGACACCAGUGCAGUACCUGGUAUUGCAGGCACCUCAUGAUCAACCACUGCUCACCUGAGCUUUGGCACAACCAGCACCAGGCAGAGCAAGGUGACCUGCCAACACCAGCCUAGCUUUCUGUGACCGUAAAGCAGAUGUGAAAGGCAGAUACAAUCUGCCCAUGAAAAUCUGGAAGGGGAGUUCUUGUGAGCUCCCUGAGUGUGCCCCAAAGCAGCGUGAGCUAAGGAGUUCAGCUGUGACCACUCUGCUGUCAGUAAGGUAACAGAGCAGCAUAAACACAACUGCAAAGGCAGUGGAAAAUUCACCUUUUCUGCAGCAAUAUACUGGCCCUGGAAACAAGGAUACCUUCUUUUAACAGCCACCACAGUUUGUCACAUGGCACUUUACACAUUACAGCUACCAAAUAGGUAUAACACUUGCACAAACAUAAAAUUGGCUGUUCUCCAAAAAACAGCUUUCCUUUCAGGCAGGCAGCAAGACUUCAAAUUCAUAAACUGAUUUUAUGGAAGUCAGAGGAGAAAGUGUACUGAGCACACUUUGCUCUCUGACAAAAGGUGUUAUGGCUAAUGUUCAUGGCAAGACAUUGCCUUUGGCACCACUGAGCAGGAACAUUUCUUUGCACCAGAAACACUGGUGCUAGGUCUUGCUUUCCCUCACACCUCUGACUCCUGCUGAUUUCAUUAAGAGUUUCCGUAUUUCACUAACUCAGAAGGCGUGCUUUGUGUAAACCUGAAUGCACACAGGACAGUGGUUUUAUGAUACAGUAUAUUCAAAGUCAAUAUUGGCUUAAGGUUUUCCUGCACAACUUCCUCCUGUACUUGUCUCUGUGUGCGGUUAAUGUGUUUUAGGUCAUGUUAGUUUUGAGAUUGAUUCACACAGUAUGGCCUCGCAAGCAGUCACACUACCACAGCUGAAAGAGAUACUCCAUGGCACAGCACAGAAGCCGUCAGUAGGAAAGAGGGGAAUGGCUCAAGCUGAUACUUCUGGUUUACACCAUACACGUUGUGAUCAUUGGCAAAGGUAAGGGCGAUAAAUCAAUCUCUGCCAAAAAACAACUACAGUCUGGUUAUUUCACUGCAGACCUCUUGGACAAUCACUGCAUUUUAGCACCCGCUGUGAAAUUAAGAAUGUGAGAUACUGAGAGGACCCUAACUCACAUGAGACCACUAUGACUGUGGAAAAGUUAAUAAAACUGACUCCUUUCUCAAGACUGAGCCAUGAAUUGUACUCCUGCCUGACAGGCUUCUGUAGUAAGGUAUACAUGCUUAAAAAUCUUUAAAAUAUAACCAUAUGAAAACUAAUUUUAACAAUAAUUACUUUUAUUCUAGAUAAAUAUAUAUAUAUAUACAGAAUUCAGACUUUUGAGGGAUUUGCUUUUUGCAAAUGUUUGAUUUAGUAAAAUACAGUGGAAGCUGUUACUUUGUGAGGAAGAACGAGGAAAAAAUAUAUCAAGAACUUACUUUCUGCAGGUUCCUUAGAUCUUCUGCCACUGGAGGACUUCCUCAGGAGACUUCGUCCUGAGGUAAAGAGGCUGGUUAGUUCCUCUAGAGGACUGGUAGGUGUCCGAGAACGGGAACCACUCUGAGAUGAUGACCCAUAUGUACUGACCGAGACAUUU
Anas platyrhynchos (mallard) is the source of this 2777-nucleotide long non-coding RNA. RefSeq lists it as uncharacterized. The record is from RefSeq and is a predicted model, not a curated record. Lineage: Eukaryota; Metazoa; Chordata; Aves; Anseriformes; Anatidae.